CACAGGAGCUUGAACACUUGUGCACACACUCGCACGCGAACUGCUCCUGGUUCUUCCAAGUUCACAGAUAGGAGCCUUGUUAAGAAUACUUUUUUGAAACAGGGGAGUCUCUUGUCUUUCAGCUGCCCUCAAACUCCCUAGCUGAGGAUGACCUUGAACUUAAGAUCUUCCUGCCUCUACGUCCCAAGUGCUACAAUUAGAGUUCCACUCCCUGAUGGCUAAGCAGUCAAAUAUAUGAGCCUACGAAGACACCCCACCCCCACAGGCAGGGUCUCUCUGUGUAGUCCUGGCUAUCUUGGGAACUUGCUCUGCAAAUCAGCCUGGCCUUGAACUCACAGAGAUCUGCCUGCCUCUGCCUGCUGGGAUUAAAGGGUGGAAACCCAGGGCCUCAGCCAUGGUAAGUCAGCACUCUAUGUUUUGUUUUUUGUUGGGCACAUGAGCUACAUAGUUAGAAACUACAUCGCCCAGAGUCCGUUGCUUAAAUCGCAUCAGUUAGUUGUGAGUGGAAGUGUUACAGCCCUGAGAAGAGAGAGCUUGUUCUCUCCUUCCCAUUCCUCUGUCCAGAACGUAAACAUGUAGGGGAUUCCAUGGGUACCCUAAGCAGGCAAAAGCUGCCUAGGUGCCCUGAUGACCUGACCAAGUAAGUGCAGG
RNAcentral lists this long non-coding RNA (651 nucleotides) under Cricetulus griseus (Chinese hamster). RNAcentral's name for it is "lncRNA (ENSCGRG00015036529.1)". The record is from RNAcentral. Lineage: Eukaryota; Metazoa; Chordata; Mammalia; Rodentia; Cricetidae.